Molecule: long non-coding RNA, 366 nt
Organism: Mya arenaria
Lineage: Eukaryota; Metazoa; Mollusca; Bivalvia; Myida; Myidae
Exons: 3
Source: RefSeq, a predicted model, not a curated record
GACAGGGUGUGCAGGGCCAACGUCAACAUGAAUCAUCUACGCCACAGGCUUGUACAACAAGGAGGGAAAAGAUUGAGGAGCGGGAUGUGGACCAGCUUAUCCGAGAGAAGAAACCAGACUGACGAACCACUCACCUAUUGGGGACUUGACCCAGCAGCUCUUCUUCCCCCAUCAUGCCCAGCAGACUGGUCCAACAUUUUUCAAAGCUCCACAGAAAUGUGAUGCCUGGAAAUUGGCUGUCUUUGGAGUAUGUGCAGAAGGCUCAGGACUACAUAUUGCGGAUUGAGAUAUCUAGGAUAGCCAUUAGGAGCUCCUUGGCCAUUUUCCAUCCAAAACAACCUCAGAUGUUCAUGGACGCUUUACAAG